Serinus canaria (Common canary) is the source of this 1129-nucleotide long non-coding RNA. RefSeq lists it as uncharacterized. Lineage: Eukaryota; Metazoa; Chordata; Aves; Passeriformes; Fringillidae. The transcript has 5 exons. The record is from RefSeq and is a predicted model, not a curated record.
AAAUCUACCCUGCAAAACAAGUUCUAUGGAAAGCGGAGAGAUUAUAGUGGAAUUCUAUUUAGCCCUAUAAAUUCUUGUUGGUAAUAUGAUAAAAAGAUAUUAAGACACCAUGAAACACGUGAAACUAUUGCUAAAUGCACUAUCUCUUCUUUCCUGUUAGUACCAUGCAGGCCAUGUAUGCACUGAAUUCUUCAAAAUUGUCCAUGGAAUUUUGUGCUAGAGAAUGGUACUCAGUUUAAAUCUGAAGAAAAAGAAAAUGGUGGGGGGGAUCAACAGUACUUACUGAAAGCAAAAGAAUUAGCAUCACUAGCAUGAGAUUCCUUGUGUUCUAUAUUUGAUAUCAGUUCUUAAAAUCUCGAGUUCGUCCUGGAGUUGUGACUGCAUUUUCAGUCUGCAUGUCAGGGGUGUCAGAAGUCAUGGGCCAGCCAAGGCCAGAAAGUCCUGUCCAAGUUUGUGAAGAGUCUGGAGUAUCACUUGAACACCUCCCAUGUUCAUUCUUAAAAACUAAAAAAGGAGCAGUGUUUGAAAGCAGUCCUGACAUGCCAGAGAUUAUCUCACUGAAGAGGAUGUGGAAUGAUCAAAAAUAAUGCUCUCCAGGUCUGUUUUUCCACAUCUUCAUAAGGAUAAGAUUUUCCCAGCAGUUGAUGGUCAACCCAAUGAUCAGCUGAAAUGUUUGAGUGACUCAAGAGAGAUAUCGAUAGUGAUAUGUACUAUAUUUCCAUUUUCAUGGUCUACUCACUGCUUCUAACAUAGGAGCUGAAAGUUGUCACUGGAAGACUAUUUCUGGACUUGAUCAACAGAAUGGUUAAGAUCCUCUCCUAAGAAGGUGGUCCUCUUACUCGCUCAAAGGCUUUAAAAUGUGGAUAUUUCUCAUCUAGCAAGCAAAACCCGUCCUUCAUUUCCAUGGAGCUGAAUGAACAAAGAUCUUUCCACUUCUGUUUGAAUCAUCUCACCAAACAUUUGAUUCACCAGAUGACUUCCCCCACAGAAGUAGCCCACUGUUUUAUCAAAACUCAGAUGCAGAAUAACAGAAAUCAGCAUUUGUUUUCCUGAAAAAAUGUCUUCUGUGCCAGCUCUUCAUUCAGCUUUCUACAUUCUGUUUUAAAAUGAAAAAUACUUUGUAAUCAGA